This 253-nucleotide ribosomal RNA is filed under the name uncultured bacterium. RNAcentral's name for it is "partial 16S ribosomal RNA". It matches the Rfam family "Bacterial small subunit ribosomal RNA", at positions 524 to 776 of the family's 1533-position model. The record is from RNAcentral.
UACGUAGGGGGCAAGCGUUGUCCGGAAUCAUUGGGCGUAAAGCGCGUGUAGGCGGCUCGAUAAGUCUGCUGUGAAAGUCCAGGGCUCAACCCUGGGAUGCCGGUGGAUACUGUCGAGCUGGAGUCCGGAAGAGGAGUGUGGAAUUCCUGGUGUAGCGGUGAAAUGCGCAGAUAUCAGGAGGAACACCAAUGGCGAAGGCAGCACUCUGGGACGUGACUGACGCUGAGACGCGAAAGCGUGGGGAGCGAACAGG